AAGUCGUAACAAGGUUUCCGUAGGUGAACCUGCGGAAGGAUCAUUAACAAAUUCAAAACACGUUUUCCUUUGAAUUAAAAGGGGAGCGAGCUUUUUUAGGUUCGCUUUCUUUUUAUUCAAAGGAGUAAACAAAAACAUACACAUCUUUGAUUGACAACACCUAGUGAUAUCUAGUUAAAUGUAGACAACUUUUAACAAUGGAUCUCUUGGCUCUU
RNAcentral lists this unclassified non-coding RNA (215 nucleotides) under fungal sp. RNAcentral's name for it is "partial internal transcribed spacer region". The stretch from base 1 to 46 matches the Rfam family "Eukaryotic small subunit ribosomal RNA", at positions 1786 to 1831 of the family's 1831-position model. The record is from RNAcentral. Lineage: Eukaryota; Fungi.